CAGGGAAUCUUGCACAAUGGGCGAAAGCCUGAUGCAGCGACGCCGCGUGGGGGAUGAAGGCCCUAGGGUCGUAAACCCCUUUCAGCAGGGACGAAAAUGACGGUACCUGCAGAAGAAGCCCCGGCCAACUACGUGCCAGCAGCCGCGGUAAGACGUAGGGGGCGAGCGUUGUCCGGAUUUAUUGGGCGUAAAGAGCUCGUAGGCGGUUGCGUAAGUCGGAUGUGAAAACUCAGGGCUCAACCCUGAGACGCCAUCCGAUACUGCGCUGACUCGAAUCCAGUAGGGGAGUGUGGAAUUCCUGGUGUAGCGGUGAAAUGCGCAGAUAUCAGGAGGAACACCCAUGGCGAAGGCAGCACUCUGGGCUGGUAUUGACGCUGAGGAGCGAAAGCAUGGGUAGCGAACAGG
Molecule: ribosomal RNA, 405 nt
Filed under: uncultured Acidimicrobiales bacterium
Lineage: Bacteria; Bacillati; Actinomycetota; Acidimicrobiia; Acidimicrobiales
Description: bacterial SSU rRNA
Rfam family: Bacterial small subunit ribosomal RNA
Source: RNAcentral